CUUCGGAUGAUUCUUAACUGACUGAGCGGCGGACGGGUGAGUAACGCGUGGGUGACCUGCCCCAUACCGGGGGAUAACAGCUGGAAACGGCUGCUAAUACCGCAUAAGCGCACAGAGCUGCAUGGCUCGGUGUGAAAAACUCCGGUGGUAUGGGAUGGGCCCGCGUCUGAUUAGGCAGUUGGCGGGGUAACGGCCCACCAAACCGACGAUCAGUAGCCGGCCUGAGAGGGCGACCGGCCACAUUGGGACUGAGACACGGCCCAAACUCCUACGGGAGGCAGCAGUGGGGAAUAUUGCACAAUGGGGGAAACCCUGAUGCAGCGACGCCGCGUGAGCGAAGAAGUAUUUCGGUAUGUAAAGCUCUAUCAGCAGGGAAGAUAAUGACGGUACCUGACUAAGAAGCCCCGGCUAACUACGUGCCAGCAGCCGCGGUAAUACGUAGGGGGCAAGCGUUAUCCGGAUUUACUGGGUGUAAAGGGAGCGUAGACGGCAAGGCAAGUCUGAUGUGAAAACCCAGGGCUUAACCCUGGGACUGCAUUGGAAACUGUCUGGCUCGAGUGCCGGAGAGGUAAGCGGAAUUCCUAGUGUAGCGGUGAAAUGCGUAGAUAUUAGGAAGAACACCAGUGGCGAAGGCGGCUUACUGGACGGUAACUGAC
Molecule: ribosomal RNA, 656 nt
Filed under: uncultured Lachnospiraceae bacterium
Lineage: Bacteria; Bacillati; Bacillota; Clostridia; Lachnospirales; Lachnospiraceae
Description: bacterial SSU rRNA
Rfam family: Bacterial small subunit ribosomal RNA
Source: RNAcentral